This 252-nucleotide ribosomal RNA is filed under the name uncultured Sulfitobacter sp. Its description in RNAcentral is "partial 16S ribosomal RNA". It matches the Rfam family "Bacterial small subunit ribosomal RNA", at positions 9 to 287 of the family's 1533-position model. The record is from RNAcentral. Lineage: Bacteria; Pseudomonadati; Pseudomonadota; Alphaproteobacteria; Rhodobacterales; Roseobacteraceae.
GAGUUUGAUCAUGGCUCAGAACGAACGCUGGCGGCACGCCUAACACAUGCAAGUCGAGCGCUUCCCUUCGGGGAGGAGCGGCGGACGGGUUAGUAACGCGUGGGAACAUACCCUUUUCUACGGAAUAGCCUCGGGAAACUGAGAGUAAUACCGUAUACGCCCUUCGGGGGAAAGAUUUAUCGGUUAAGGAUUGGCCCGCGUUAGAUUAGAUAGUUGGUGGGGUAAUGGCCUACCAAGUCUACGAUCUAUAGC